Molecule: microRNA precursor, 115 nt
Filed under: Otolemur garnettii (small-eared galago)
Lineage: Eukaryota; Metazoa; Chordata; Mammalia; Primates; Galagidae
Source: RNAcentral
GGUUCUUGAGUCAGCAUCACUUUGGGUAUUUGAGAAGAGGUUGUCUGUGAUGAGUUCGCUUUAUUAAUGACGAAUAUAACACAGAUGGCCUGUUUUCAGUACCACCUGGCACUCG